RNAcentral lists this unclassified non-coding RNA (364 nucleotides) under uncultured bacterium. Its description in RNAcentral is "contains 16S-23S intergenic spacer region". The record is from RNAcentral.
UCCCCGUUACCGAGGCAGUCUAGCUAGAAAAUACAACUAACUACGAGGGUUGCGCUCGUUGAAGGACUUAACCUAACAUCUCACGACACGAGCUGACGACAGCCAUGCAUCACCUGUAUCCAGUCCAACUAAAUGACCAACUAGUUUCCUAGUCGUACGACUAGUAUGUCAAGCCCUGGUAAGGUUCUUCGCGUACCAUCGAAUUAAACCACACGCUCCACCGCUUGUGCGGGUCCCCGUCAAUUCCUUUGAGUUUUAAGCUUGCGCUCGUACUCCCCAGGCGGGAUGCUUAACGCGUUAGCUUCGCAACUGAGAGGGUCGAUACCCCCAACUGCUAGCAUCCAUCGUUUACGGCGUGGACUAC